AAGAAAAGCAGACAAGAUGGCGCCGAUCAACUGGAAAUCCCAUUUGCUUAAGAUUAGGGUGGGGCGACCAGCCUUCCCCACGCACUCUAUGGAUGUCAUGCCGGAUGGAACCAAUCUUUGAGCCCUACGUAAAUGAAACACCGCCUUCACCAGCCUGCCUAUAAAGUCUGCAGAGGUCAGGUGCCUCCCACCUUUUUGGCUCUCUUUCUCUCUCUCUCUCUCUCCUUCCCUCCCUCCCCUUCCCUCCCCUUCCCUCCCUCUCCCUCACUCUCCCCCACUCCCUCUCCCCCUCCCCCUUUCUCUCUCUCUCUCUCUCUCUCUCUCUCUCUCUCACAAGGAGCUGCUCUCCUCCUUUCUUCUGUUGAGACGUGUGUGUGUCUGUCUUUCUGUCUCUUUCUCUCUCUCUCUCUCGCAAGGAGCUGCUCUCCUCCUUUCUUCUGUUGAGACGUGUGUGUGUCUGUCUUUCUGUCUCUGUCCCUCUGUCUCUUUCUCUCUCUCUCUCUCUCUCUCUCUCUCUCUCUCGCAAGGAGCUGCUCUCCUCCUUUCUUCUGUUGAGACGUGUGUGUGUCUGUCUUUCUGUCUCUGUCCCUCUGUCUCUUUCUCUCUCUCUCUCUCUCUCUCUCUCGCAAGGAGCUGCUCUCCUCCUUUCUUCUGUUAGGACCUGCGUGUGUGUCUGUGUUUCUGUCUGUCUCUGUCCCUCUGUCUCUCUCUCUCUCUGUCUCUGUGUCUCUCAGUCUGUCUCUCUCUCCCUCUCUCUCUGUCCAUCUCUCUCUCUCUGUCUCUCUCUCUGUCCCUCUGUCUCUGUCUCUCUGUCUCUCACAACGAGCUGCUCUCCUCUCUCCUUUCUUCUGUUUGGACGAGUGUGUGUGCCUGUGUCUGUCUGUCUGUCUGUCUCACUGUCUCUCUCUGUCCCUCUGUCUCUCUCUAUAUCUGUCUGUCUGUCUCUUCCUCUCUGUCUGUCUCUCUCUCUGUCUCUGUCUCUGUCUCUCUCUCAAGGAGCUGCUCUCCUCUCUUUUUUUCUCUUCAGACUUGUCUGUGUGUGUGUGUCUGUCUGUCUGUCUCUCUGUCUCUCUCUGUCCCUCUGUCUCUCUCUGUCCCUCUGUCUCUGUCUCUUUCUCUAUCGCAAGGAGCUGCUCUCCUCUCUUCUGUUUGGACCUCUCUGCUUGUGUGUGUCUGUGUGUGUGUGUGUGUCUGCCUCUCUCUCUCUCUCUCUCUCGCAAGGAGCUGCUGUCCUCUCUCCUUUCUUCUGUUCAGACCUCUGUGUGUGUGUGUCUCUCUCUCUCUCUGUCUCUGUGUGUGUCUGUUUCUCUCUGUGUGUGUCUCUUUGUAUCUGUGUGUUUGUGUGUGUCUGUCUCUCUGUCUCUGUCUGUCUGUCUGUCUUUCUCUCUCUCUCUCUCUCUCUCUCGCAAGGAGCUGCUCUCUUCUCUUUUCUCCUGUUUGGACUUGUGUGUGUGUGUCUGUCUCUCUCUGUCUGACUGCCUCUCUUUGUCUCUGUCUCUCUAUCUCUCUGUCUGUCUCACAAGGAGCUGCUCUCCUCUCUCCUUUCUUCCCUGUCCUCAAUUAUUUCUCAGAGUGAGACAAGGAACUCCAGGGUAUACACCCCGCACGACGUAGCUGUUUCCAACACCAGGGGUCUUAGCUAGAAAAAGUGAGUGUAUGUAAUCGUCAGCAUUUGCUACUGAUGACAGAAUAGAACAAAUUCUGCCAAGAGAUUUAAAGAGGUUUAUUCUGAACCAAUAUGAGUGCUGAGCGCCUGUGCUCCAGGAUUACAUGGUCUCAAGAGAUCUGAGAAAGUGUGUUCAGGAGGUCUGGUUACAGUUCCAUUUUUAUUUAUUUAUUUAUUUUUAUUUUUUUUAAAUCGAGAUGGAGUCUCACUCUGUCAUCCAGGCUGGAGUACAAUGGCGUGAUCUCGGCUCACUGCAACGUCUGCCUCCAGGGUUCAAGCAAUUUCCCUGCCUCAGCCUCCCGAGUAGCUGGGAUUACAGGCCCCUGCCACCACACCUGGCUAAUUUUUUGUAUUUAGUACAGACGAGGUUUCACCAUAUUGGCCAGGCUGGUCUCAAACUCCUGACCUCAGUUGAUUCUCCCACCUCGGCAUCCCAACAUACUGGUAUUACAGGUGUGAGCCACCGCGCCCGACCUACAGUUCUAUUGUAUAUAUUUCAGGGAGACAGGAAUUGUAGGUAAAAUCAUAAAUCAUUACAUGGAAGGUAUACCUUGUUUCGGCCUUAAAGAUGAAACAUCUCAAAGUGGGUUCCUACGAGUCACAGGUAGGCUUUAGGGAUUCUUUAGUUGGCAAUUGGUUGUAUAAAACAUAAAAAUGUAAGGCCGGGCAUGGUGGCCCACGCCUGUAAUCACAGCACUUUGGGAGGCUGAAGCGGGUGCAUCAUCUGAGGUCAAGAGUUUGAAACCAGCCUGGCCAAUAUGGUGAAACCCUGUCACUACUAAAAAUACAAAAAUUAGCUGGGCCUGUAAUCCCAGCUACUUGGGAAGCUGAGGCAGGAGAAACACUUGAAUCCAGGAGGCAGAGGUUGCAGUGAGCUGAGAUUGUGCCACUGCACUCCAGCCUGGGUGACAGAGUGAGGAAAGAAAA
Molecule: long non-coding RNA, 2593 nt
Filed under: Homo sapiens (human)
Lineage: Eukaryota; Metazoa; Chordata; Mammalia; Primates; Hominidae
Description: non-protein coding lnc-CSF2RA-2:2
Source: RNAcentral